GUAAGCGGACUUUGCCUCCGGCGAACUGUGCAUCAUUGUCAGCAUGACACCUGACAGCAGUGUCAACAACUUCAGACCGCUUUAAAGCUAUGAAAGUGCAGAUUCUGCACAUGGCAGCUCAGUGAGAGACGCUUAAUGUGACUCAACCGCACAUAUUUGAAGCCAGCGUUAAACAAAACCAUCAUAUACUGCGAUAAAGUGCAUGAAUGGAGGAUGUCACGCGACUCAUCUCAGGUCUUUAAUGUGCUUGCUGGAGUAUUUGGGUGAUGCUGGUCUUGUUUUUGACACGCGCUGUCAAUCCUUGAAGUGCUAGUGAUUUGACAGCUGAGCAUGGAUGAAGAAUAAGGGGUGAGUUUGGAUUAUACAGAGUUCUGGGAAAUUUACCACAAUGAUGGACAUCUGCUCAUGGACAGGUGUUUGUGCAGUUCAGCUGCUGGUGGGGCAUCCAUGGCAGAGGAACCUUUAGUCACCACGGGGAAUAACUUCCCAUUGGAUUACAGACAUGAGCAAGAUGUUACAUGUUCCAGACGGGACUCUCAUGGGCGCUUUGUGAACCCUUGGACGACAUGGCAGUUCCCCUCCCACAGCACCAUCGCUCGCAACAGAACAACAGUAAUGUUCCCAGUGCCAA
Sinocyclocheilus grahami is the source of this 631-nucleotide long non-coding RNA. RefSeq lists it as uncharacterized. The record is from RefSeq and is a predicted model, not a curated record. Lineage: Eukaryota; Metazoa; Chordata; Actinopteri; Cypriniformes; Cyprinidae. The transcript has 4 exons.